RNAcentral lists this ribosomal RNA (468 nucleotides) under uncultured bacterium. RNAcentral's name for it is "partial 16S ribosomal RNA". It matches the Rfam family "Bacterial small subunit ribosomal RNA", at positions 28 to 507 of the family's 1533-position model. The record is from RNAcentral.
GACGAACGCUGGCGGCGUGCUUAACACAUGCAAGUCGAACGGAAAGGCCUGCAGCUUGCUGCGGGUACUCGAGUGGCGCACGGGUGAGUAACACGUGGGUGAUCUGCCUUGCACUUCGGGAUAAGCUUGGGAAACUGGGUCUAAUACCGGAUAGGACAGCUGUUUAGUGUCAGUUGUGGAAAGUUUUUUCGGUGCAAGAUGAGCUCGCGGCCUAUCAGCUUGUUGGUGGGGUAAUGGCCUACCAAGGCGUCGACGGGUAGCCGGCCUGAGAGGGUGUACGGCCACAUUGGGACUGAGAUACGGCCCAGACUCCUACGGGAGGCAGCAGUGGGGAAUAUUGCACAAUGGGCGGAAGCCUGAUGCAGCGACGCCGCGUGGGGGAUGAAGGCCUUCGGGUUGUAAACUCCUUUCGACAGGGACGAAGCUUUUGUGACGGUACCUGUAGAAGAAGCACCGGCUAACUACGUG